CUCUGGAUGGAAUUGCUAGAAGUCAAAGUGAUGAUAGAAUUAUACAACAGUGAAGUAUGCUUCUUUUUCCUUUUUUGGGCAUAAGAUGUGCUAGUUGUAGAGGUUAACUGGUGUUGACAUGUCAAUAAACUCUCAGAUGACUAAGAAAUGAUGGCUUUUAGAGGACAUACCUUAUUAUCACAGAAAUGCUUCUCCCCAUGUUCAUAGUUCUUUGACUGGAUCUUGAGUCUCCUAAUCUGCAGAAUAUUCCAUAAAAAAUGGAGGAUUCCACAAGAACGAAAGAAAGUUAUUCAAUUCACUCAUUAUGCUCACCUUGAAGAAAUACACAUCUCCACCGGUGAAAUCUUGAUCGGUGAGCUGUGGCAUUUGAACAGAAAAUUUUCUGUACUAUUGCUUCAUCUGAUUACUGCCUUCCAGUUAAACACGGAU
This 429-nucleotide long non-coding RNA is filed under the name Elaeis guineensis (African oil palm). Its description in RNAcentral is "long non-coding RNA (EGUI_LNC000563)". Lineage: Eukaryota; Viridiplantae; Streptophyta; Magnoliopsida; Arecales; Arecaceae. The record is from RNAcentral.